This 1556-nucleotide long non-coding RNA is filed under the name Homo sapiens (human). RNAcentral's name for it is "non-protein coding SNHG11:10". The record is from RNAcentral. Lineage: Eukaryota; Metazoa; Chordata; Mammalia; Primates; Hominidae.
GGCUGCGGCCUGCCCCUCAGCCUCCUCCGCGCGGUUACCCCUGUACCCGCCGCCAUCCGUCCUGGCGCUCCGGAUGAGUCAAUGAGGGGCAGGGCCCGAGGAGUGGUCUUCCCAAGAACCCCUGGUGGCCUCCCAAGGCCGGUGCUGUGUACCUCCUCCCCGACAAAAGGGGAAACUGAGGCCCCGAGGGGAGUGGGAAGAGCCGGCUGGACGUCAGGCCCAGCCGCUGGUGCAGUGGUCCGUCCCCUCUGCCGGGGUGGGCCCCUCGGGUUUCGCGUGUCCUCGGGAAAGAGACUGGCGGGUGAGCCGCGCCCUCGGCCUUCGCUGGGCUAAGCCGACCCCAUGCAGACGUCAAACCCCCCUAGGUCGGCACAGCCUCUCUGCGGGGAGGCUUAGUGCCCCCUUGAGAAACGGCUUGGCAACGCUGUGCCCGGGGCCUUGCACGCGGGCUGAGGGGGCUAGAGACCUCGCGACUUUUACUCCCCCGACCCCGAUCUCCGACUCCUGACUUUGGAAGCCCCCAAAGCUGCUUUUCGGUUGCCUACAAAGUGUCGGUCAUUGUGCCACGUCCUUGGAACCGUGAACUCAUUUUCUCCUCAAUAACCUUUAAAAAGUAGCUGUAAAACCUCCAUUUUACAGACCAGUUGGCUGAGGUUUAAAUGGAGGACGCUCCCAGGGCCCCAGAGGGGCGAAUUCCAGACUCCUUUGCCAGGACCUUGUACUAAGCCCCUUCCCUACGCUUUUCCCUGCCUAGGCCUCGUGGGCUGUGCGGCUAUCCUGGAGACAGAUGACAGCUCUCCCUUGGAUGGCUUUGCUGGUUCCGCACCAGCCAGCGCCCCCAUUUUUCCUGCAGCACCCUGAUCUGCACUCCCUGAGGGGCUCCCACUGUCCGCGGUGUGAGGAUGUCCCUGGAUAGUCCACUGUGUGCAGAGGCAUGGGAGUUGUCAUGUUGGGAACAUGCUAGACCUCAGUAUCCUUGAGCUUGAAGAAAGACGACAGAACACUGGAGACCAAGUACUUACAGCCUUCUGCUCUGUGGCCCCUCCUCACUCCAGGGAUGCUGCCUUGGGUCUGGAAACUGUUAGAGGAAACCCCAAGAGGUGCAGGCACUGAGCCUCUCAGGACAAUGACCUGGGGUCCCAGCUCCCCUGGAGGGGCCUCCUCAUGAUUGUUUGGGGGUUGAUCACAGACCAAGAGUGACGAGUGAUGUCACCCUGUGACUCAUGGCUGGACCUUCUUGCCCCUAUUGUCUCAGCACAACAUUAUUCGACUUUUCCCUCAGCGUGGGUGGGCAGAGGAAAAGCCCUGUGGCUCUGGGGACUUGGGAUCCAGAGUUGAAGACCCUUCAGCUGGCUCUGCCCUGCCAGUGCCACAGAGUGCCAUGGCCCAGGAAGACAGGUUUUCUUCCAUCUAGGCCAGGCCAUCCAGUGGCCAUCCUCCGUGUCCUCCCGCCUCCUCCUGGUGUGACUUCUGAAAACCAAGAAUUUGUUCCUGUUGACUUUUUCUGUGCUAUGGACCAUUGUCCUCUCACCCACUCAAUAAAUCUUGAAACAUGC